Molecule: long non-coding RNA, 199 nt
Filed under: Vigna radiata
Lineage: Eukaryota; Viridiplantae; Streptophyta; Magnoliopsida; Fabales; Fabaceae
Description: long non-coding RNA (VRAD_LNC002988)
Source: RNAcentral
GGUUGCCAUAUUUUUGGAAAGUGUAACAAAAUGAAGGAUGGAAUGACAACUUGAUCAAAAGAGAAGUUAAAAUUUGAAAACUUAAUGAUUAUUGAAGAAAAAUUAAAGGAUUAGAAACCUCCCCUUAAAAUCUUAGUUCAUUUGUAAUUGUAGGAGCGAAAGUUGCCCUCAGUAGCACUUCCUCCUUGAUCAAAAUUUC